Molecule: ribosomal RNA, 434 nt
Filed under: uncultured bacterium
Lineage: Bacteria
Description: partial 16S ribosomal RNA
Rfam family: Bacterial small subunit ribosomal RNA
Source: RNAcentral
AACGAACGCUGGCGGCAUGCCUAACACAUGCAAGUCGAACGAGACCUUCGGGUCUAGUGGCGCACGGGUGCGUAACGCGUGGGAACCUGCCCUUAGGUUCGGAAUAACUCCCCGAAAGGGGUGCUAAUACCGGAUAAUGUCUUCGGACCAAAGAUUUAUCGCCUUUGGAUGGGCCCGCGUUGGAUUAGCUAGUUGGUAGGGUAAAAGCCUACCAAGGCGACGAUCCAUAGCUGGUCUGAGAGGAUGAUCAGCCACACUGGGACUGAGACACGGCCCAGACCUCCGAGGGAAGGCGGAGGGGGGAAAUAUGGAAAAAGGGGAGAGACCUUGACCCAGCAACGCGGGGGAGGUGAGGAAGCCUUUGGGUUUAAAAAGCUUUUUACCCGGGAAGGAAAAGGACAGGACCGGAAGAAAAAGCCCCGGCAAACCCCGGG